GACGAACGCUGGCGGCGUGCUUAACACAUGCAAGUCGAGCGGACAGGCGCCUAUGGGGGUCCUCGGGCGGCGAACGGGGGCGUAACACGUGCGUAACCUGCCCUUGCCUUCGGGAUAACGUUAGGUAACUGGGGCCAAUACUGGUUAGGGAUCAUAGCUGCAACGGGGGGGUUGGAAAGCGUCGGAGGUUUUGGGUGGCCUCGAGGGGUAUCGGCUUGUCGGGGGGGUAGUGGCUUACCAAGGCGAUGACGGGUAGCCGGCCUGAGUGGCCGACCGGCCACAUUGACACUGAGGGACGGCACAGACAGCGACGGGAGGCAGCAGUGGGGAAUAUUGCACGAUGAGCGGAGGCCUGAUGCAGCAGCGCCGCGUGCGGGAUGACGGCCUUCGGGUUGUAGACCGCUUUCGUCAGGGGCGAAGCUUGUGUUGACGGUACCUGCAGAGGAAGCACCGGCUAACUACGUG
This 465-nucleotide ribosomal RNA is filed under the name uncultured bacterium. Its description in RNAcentral is "partial 16S ribosomal RNA". It matches the Rfam family "Bacterial small subunit ribosomal RNA", at positions 28 to 507 of the family's 1533-position model. The record is from RNAcentral.